RNAcentral lists this ribosomal RNA (253 nucleotides) under uncultured bacterium. RNAcentral describes it as "partial 16S ribosomal RNA". It matches the Rfam family "Bacterial small subunit ribosomal RNA", at positions 524 to 776 of the family's 1533-position model. The record is from RNAcentral.
UACGGAGACUGCGAGCGUUACUCGGAUUUACUGGGCGUAAAGGGUCCGUAGGCGGCCAUGUGUGUCGGGUGUGAAAUCCUGCAGCUCAACUGCAGAACUGCGCUCGAAACUACAUGGCUAGAGUAUCGGAGAGGUGAGCAGAAUUCCAGGUGUAGCGGUGAAAUGCGUAGAUAUCUGGAGGAAUACCAACGGCGAAGGCAGCUCACUGGACGAUUACUGACGCUGAGGGACGAAAGUGUGGGGAGCGAAAGGG